This 460-nucleotide ribosomal RNA is filed under the name uncultured bacterium. RNAcentral describes it as "partial 16S ribosomal RNA". It matches the Rfam family "Bacterial small subunit ribosomal RNA", at positions 338 to 795 of the family's 1533-position model. The record is from RNAcentral.
CCUACGGGAGGCUGCAGUGAGGAAUAUUGGUCAAUGGGCGAGAGCCUGAACCAGCCAAGUCGCGUGAGGGAAGACGGUCCUAUGGAUUGUAAACCUCUUUUGUCGGGGAGCAAAAAGGCCUCGUGAGGCCACAAGUGAGAGUACCCGAAGAAAAAGCAUCGGCUAACUCCGUGCCAGCAGCCGCGGUAAUACGGAGGAUGCGAGCGUUAUCCGGAUUUAUUGGGUUUAAAGGGUGCGUAGGCGGACUGGAAAGUCAGCGGUAAAAUCGAGAGGCUCAACCUCUUUCCGCCGUUGAAACUGUCGGUCGUGAGUGGGCGAGAAGUAUGCGGAAUGCGUGGUGUAGCGGUGAAAUGCAUAGAUAUCACGCAGAACCCCGAUUGCGAAGGCAGCAUGCCGGCUUCCGACUGACGCUGAAGCACGAAAGCGUGGGGAUCGAACAGGAUUAGAUACCCUAGUAGUC